Molecule: long non-coding RNA, 1407 nt
Organism: Anguilla rostrata (American eel)
Lineage: Eukaryota; Metazoa; Chordata; Actinopteri; Anguilliformes; Anguillidae
Exons: 2
Source: RefSeq, a predicted model, not a curated record
UCUUUUACUUUUUAUAUUUGUGCACUCGGACUAAAAACAAAUCCUGAGGGAACAGCACAACAGAAAAACAUACAGUGCAAAAAUACACAUUCCUGUUUCUCAAAUUUUCAGAAAGAUCACACACUUUCUGCACCUGAACAUUUAACCUAGGGGAGAACUUUUUUAAAUAUCUGAAUAGGUGAUUGACCUGUAUUUUGUGAGUCAAGGACACCGUUGGAGCCAAUUCACACUUCACUCUUUGGUUUAUGGUUUAUUAGUAUUCAAGGGACCUCUUACGGGGAGCACAGCAGGGGGCGCUGGUUUUUGAGGUACACAUAAGGUGUGCUGUAGCAGAGCAAGAGGUGUUGCCUGAUGGAGGAGGCAUACAGUUUUCGACCGUGUCACCAUGCUUAUCACUGCGACUUGUAGGAGCUAGGCUAGCUGCACAUUAGGGUGUUUUUUCUCCUUUUGUUUUGUUUGAUUUCAAUAUUAUUUACAACAUCACAACUGACUACAAUAAUGGAUCGGAUCUGGAACAUCAGAGACGAGAAUGGUGAGCAAACACGCGUCAAAGCAACUCGUAUCAAUCAGGUAGCCAAGAGACUUAAUUGGUUUGUUUGAAAGUCAAUACAGACACUCUUGUUUAUUAUUAUUGGUGCUGAGCUUGACAUGGAAUGUGUGAGACACGCCCCACACAAACACACACAAUCAACGGCAGCAGCUGUUUGCACUAAGUGUGUUUUUCACCAGCAUGUUACUGCCUGCAGAACAGCAGGCCCUGAUACUCCUGGUCUGGAGAAACAAAAAUAUGAUCAUAUUAUGGCCUUAAUGAGCCAAUAUAGAGAUUUUGCAACUACUAACUAAAAAAAAAAUCACUGAAUUUAUUUAGCCCAUAUUUAUGGAUAAUUGCUGUCUGGAACCUGGAAUUACUUCAUUAUUAAUUUAUAUCCUGAAAACAGCAGAACAAACAUAAUUAUUCUGGGAAAGCAGUGAUUGGUUCACUGAUAUGCAUUGAAAUAGUGCUGGAUCAUAUGCAUUCAGAAGUAACACUGCUGUUUUUCUGAUUGUAGUGCCAACCCAAGCCUGAAGGGCUGAUAUGAACAGAGAGGGGGAGACUACACUCUCCUGUUACCCAACAGAAUGAUCUGUCAAUGAGACCGGAGUCAGUCCCCUCCCCCACACUGAAAGAUGACCAAUCACAGUCAGUCCCAUCUCCCUGACUCACUGAAAGAUGACCAAUCACAGUCAGUCCCAUCUCCCUGAUUCACUGAAAGAUGACCAAUCACGAUCCGUCCCAUCCCCCUGAUUUACAGAUCAAAAAAAGUAUUUGUGAGCAUGUGUAAUUGUAAAGAUGUCUUAUUGGACGUAUAUUGUAAAAAGUGAAAAGUAUGUUUGUGCCACAUUAAACAUUAUACUGCUGGUUUCAAA